RNAcentral lists this ribosomal RNA (467 nucleotides) under uncultured bacterium. RNAcentral's name for it is "partial 16S ribosomal RNA". It matches the Rfam family "Bacterial small subunit ribosomal RNA", at positions 31 to 507 of the family's 1533-position model. The record is from RNAcentral.
GAGGAACGCUGGCGGCGCGCCUAACACAUGCAAGUCGAACGAUUAAAGCACCUUCGGGUGUGUAUAAAGUGGCGAACGGCUGAGUAACACGUGGGCAACCUGCCCCUUUCAUUGGGAUAGCCACGGGAAACCGUGGAUAAUACCGAAUACUUCGAGACUUCCGCAUGGAAGACUCGAGAAAGCUCCGGCGGAGAGGGAUGGGCCCGCGGCCUGUUAGCUUGUUGGUGGGGUAACGGCCUACCAAGGCAAUGAUGGGUAGCUGGGUUGAGAGACCGACCAGCCAGAUUGGGACUGAGACACGGCCCAGACUCCUACGGGAGGCAGCAGUGGGGAAUCUUGCACAAUGGGCGAAAGCCUGAUGCAGCGACGCCGCGUGCGGGAUGAAGGCCUUCGGGUUGUAAACCGCUUUCAGCAGGGACGAGGAGAAAGUGACGGUACCUGCAGAAGAAGCCCCGGCUAACUACGUG